AUUGAACGCUGGCGGCAGGCCUAACACAUGCAAGUCGAGCGAGCGGCGGACGGGUGAGUAAUGUAUGGGGACUGCCCGAUAGAGGGGGAUAACUACUGGAAACGGUGGCUAAUACCGCCUACUAUCGGAUAACCCAUAUUGGAUUAGCUAGUAGGGGGGGUAAAGGCUCACCUAGGCUACGAUCUCUAGCUGGUCUGAGAGGAUGAUCAGCAACACGGGGACUGAGAGACGGCCAAGACGCUGACGGAGGCAGGAGUGGGGAAUAGUGCACAAUGGGGGCAAGCGUGAUGUAGCCAGGGCGCGUGUAGGAAGAAGGCCGUAGGGUUGUAAAGGACUUUCAGCGGGUAGGCGUUACACGCAGUAGAAGCACAGGCUAACGCCGUGCCAGCAGCCGCGGUAAUAC
Molecule: ribosomal RNA, 403 nt
Filed under: uncultured bacterium
Lineage: Bacteria
Description: partial 16S ribosomal RNA
Rfam family: Bacterial small subunit ribosomal RNA
Source: RNAcentral